RNAcentral lists this ribosomal RNA (736 nucleotides) under uncultured bacterium. Its description in RNAcentral is "bacterial SSU rRNA". It matches the Rfam family "Bacterial small subunit ribosomal RNA", at positions 9 to 712 of the family's 1533-position model. The record is from RNAcentral.
GAGUUUGAACCUGGCUCAGGACGAACGCUGGCGGCGUGCCUAAUACAUGCAAGUCGAGCGAGCUGAACCAGCAGAUUCACUUCGGUGAUGACGCUGGGAACGCGAGCGGCGGAUGGGUGAGUAACACGUGGGUAACCUGCCCUAAAGUCUGGGAUACCACUUGGAAACAGGUGCUAAUACCGGAUAACAACAAUAGCUGCAUGGCUAUUGCUUAAAAGGCGGCGAAAGCUGUCGCUAAAGGAUGGACCCGCGGUGCAUUAGCUAGUUGGUAAGGUAAUGGCUUACCAAGGCGACGAUGCAUAGCCGAGUUGAGAGACUGACCGGCCACAUUGGGACUGAGACACGGCCCAAACUCCUACGGGAGGCAGCAGUAGGGAAUCUUCCACAAUGGGCGAAAGCCUGAUGGAGCAACGCCGCGUGAGUGAAGAAGGUUUUCGGAUCGUAAAGCUCUGUUGUUGGUGAAGAAGGAUAGAGGUAGUAACUGGCCCCUAUUUGACGGUAAUCAACCAGAAAGUCACGGCUAACUACGUGCCAGCAGCCGCGGUAAUACGUAGGUGGCAAGCGUUGUCCGGAUUUAUUGGGCGUAAAGCGAGCGCAGGCGGAAAGAUAAGUCUGAUGUGAAGGCCCCCGGCUUAACCGAGGAAUUGCAUCGGAAACUGUGUUUCUUGAGUGCAGAAGAGGAGAGUGGAACUCCAUGUGUAGCGGUGGAAUGCGUAGAUAUAUGGAAGAACACCAG